This is a non-coding RNA of Aspergillus terreus NIH2624, 84 nucleotides long. NCBI's taxonomy places the organism in Eukaryota, Fungi, Ascomycota, Eurotiomycetes, Eurotiales, Aspergillaceae. The record is from the annotation of a RefSeq genome assembly.
GCAUUGAUGGUCUAGUGGUUAUGAUUGCCGCCUUCCACUUAUCGGUGUUAGCGGCAGAGCGGGGUUCGAUUCCCCGUCAAUGCA